GGGGAUUUGGCUCAGUGGUAGAGCGCUUGCCUAGCAAGCGCAAGGCCCUGGGUUCAGUCCCCA
Rattus norvegicus (Norway rat) is the source of this 63-nucleotide non-coding RNA. Lineage: Eukaryota; Metazoa; Chordata; Mammalia; Rodentia; Muridae. The record is from Rfam.